ACGGAGGAUGCGAGCGUUAUCCGGAUUUAUUGGGUUUAAAGGGAGCGCAGACGGGGAAUUAAGUCAGUUGUGAAAGUUUGGGGCUCAACCUUAAAAUUGCAGUUGAUACUGGUUCUCUUGAGUGCAGUUGAGGCAGGCGGAAUUCGUGGUGUAGCGGUGAAAUGCUUAGAUAUCACGAAGAACCCCGAUUGCGAAGGCAGCUUGCUAAACUGUAACUGACGUUCAUGCUCGAAAGUGUGGGUAUCAAACAG
RNAcentral lists this ribosomal RNA (251 nucleotides) under uncultured bacterium. RNAcentral describes it as "partial 16S ribosomal RNA". It matches the Rfam family "Bacterial small subunit ribosomal RNA", at positions 525 to 775 of the family's 1533-position model. The record is from RNAcentral.